RNAcentral lists this ribosomal RNA (549 nucleotides) under Laetiporus sp. SJ1-R1. RNAcentral describes it as "eukaryotic LSU rRNA". The stretch from base 201 to 354 matches the Rfam family "5.8S ribosomal RNA". The record is from RNAcentral. Lineage: Eukaryota; Fungi; Basidiomycota; Agaricomycetes; Polyporales; Laetiporaceae.
AGGUUUCCGUAGGUGAACCUGCGGAAGGAUCAUUAACGAACAACGGGGUUCGCCCCUUGUCCACAAACACACCCCCGUGCACGUUGAAGGCCCGGCUCGUUGAGUGGGUGGGCGACCGCCCAGGAUUCGUAGCCUCGCUUUCUUACACAAACUUCAGAAUGUACAUCAGAAUGUCUUACGCGUGUAACGCAUCGUAAUAUAACUUUCAGCAACGGAUCUCUUGGCUCUCGCAUCGAUGAAGAACGCAGCGAAAUGCGAUAAGUAAUGUGAAUUGCAGAAUUCAGUGAAUCAUCGAAUCUUUGAACGCACCUUGCGCUCCUUGGCAUUCCGAGGAGCAUGCCUGUUUGAGUGUCAUGAAACUCUCAACCCCUGCCAUCUUUGCGGAUGAGCGUCGGUUGGAUUUUGGAGGUUGCCGGACUCGUUCGGCUCCUCUUGAAAGCAUAGUAAAGCUUGGACCUGACCGACCGGGUGGACGUGAUAGAAAGUCACCGUCGACCGAAGGGUCCGUCGCUGAACGGUUCAAGCUUUGUUUGUCGUCUUCGGACGAAC